AACGAACGCUGGCGGCAGGCCUAACACAUGCAAGUCGAGCGAGGACUUCGGUCCUAGCGGCGGACGGGUGAGUAACGCGUGGGAACGUGCCCUUUGCUUCGGAAUAGCCCUGGGAAACUGGGAGUAAUACCGGAUGAGCCCUUUGGGGGAAAGAUUUAUCGGCGAAGGAUCGGCCCGCGUUGGAUUAGGUAGUUGGUGGGGUAAUGGCCUACCAAGCCGACGAUCCAUAGCUGGUUUGAGAGGAUGAUCAGCCACACUGGGACUGAGACACGGCCCAGACUCCUACGGGAGGCAGCAGUGGGGAAUCUUAGACAAUGGGGGAAACCCUGAUCUAGCCAUGCCGCGUGAGCGGUGAAGGCCUUAGGGUUGUAAAGCUCUUUCAGCUGGGAAGAUAAUGACGGUACCAGCAGAAGAAGCCCCGGCUAACUCCGUG
This 433-nucleotide ribosomal RNA is filed under the name uncultured bacterium. RNAcentral's name for it is "partial 16S ribosomal RNA". It matches the Rfam family "Bacterial small subunit ribosomal RNA", at positions 29 to 507 of the family's 1533-position model. The record is from RNAcentral.